UACGUAGGUGACCAGCGUUGUCCGGAUUUACUGGGCGUAAAGAGCGCGCAGACGGUCGUUCAAGUCGAGUGUGAAAGCCCCCGGCUUGACUGGGGAGGGUCAUUCGAUACUGUUCGACUUGAAGGCAGGAGAGGGCAGCAGAAUUCCCGGUGUAGUGGUGAAAUGCGUAGAUAUCGGGAGGAAUACCAGUGGCGAAGGCGGCUGCCUGGCCUGUUCUUGACGCUGAGGCGCGAAAGCUGGGGGAGCAAACGGG
This 253-nucleotide ribosomal RNA is filed under the name uncultured bacterium. RNAcentral's name for it is "partial 16S ribosomal RNA". It matches the Rfam family "Bacterial small subunit ribosomal RNA", at positions 524 to 776 of the family's 1533-position model. The record is from RNAcentral.